CACGCCGUAAACGAUGUCAACUAGCCGUUGGGAGCCUUGAGCUCUUAGUGGCGCAGCUAACGCAUUAAGUUGACCGCCUGGGGAGUACGGCCGCAAGGUUAAAACUCAAAUGAAGUGACGGGGGCCCGCACAAGCGGUGGAGCAUGUGGUUUAAUUCGAAGCAACGAGAAGAACCUUACCAGGCCUUGACAUCCAAUGAACUUUCCAGAGAUGGAUUGGUGCCUUCGGGAACAUUGAGACAGGUGC
Molecule: ribosomal RNA, 246 nt
Filed under: uncultured bacterium
Lineage: Bacteria
Description: partial 16S ribosomal RNA
Rfam family: Bacterial small subunit ribosomal RNA
Source: RNAcentral